GACGAACGCUGGCGGCGUGCUUGACACAUGCAAGUCGAACGGAAAGGCCCUGCUGUUGUGGGGUGCUCGAGUGGCGAACGGGUGAGUAACACGUGAGUAACCUGCCCUUGACUUUUGGAUAACUUCAGGAAACUGGGGCUAAUACCGGAUAGGAGCUCCUGCUGCAUGGUGGGGGUUGGAAAGUUUCGGCGGUUGGGGAUGGACUCGCGGCUUAUCAGCUUGUUGGUGGGGUAGUGGCUUACCAAGGCUUUGACGGGUAGCCGGCCUGAGAGGGUGACCGGCCACAUUGGGACUGAGAUACGGCCCAGACUCCUACGGGAGGCAGCAGUGGGGAAUAUUGCACAAUGGGCGGAAGCCUGAUGCAGCAACGCCGCGUGCGGGAUGACGGCCUUCGGGUUGUAAACCGCUUUCGCCUGUGACGAAGCGUGAGUGACGGUAAUGGGUAAAGAAGCACCGGCUAACUACGUG
RNAcentral lists this ribosomal RNA (468 nucleotides) under uncultured bacterium. RNAcentral describes it as "partial 16S ribosomal RNA". It matches the Rfam family "Bacterial small subunit ribosomal RNA", at positions 28 to 507 of the family's 1533-position model. The record is from RNAcentral.